Molecule: long non-coding RNA, 1263 nt
Filed under: Homo sapiens (human)
Lineage: Eukaryota; Metazoa; Chordata; Mammalia; Primates; Hominidae
Description: uncharacterized LOC105376350, transcript variant 5 (LOC105376350)
Source: RNAcentral
UGGUCGCGCACCCGGCUCACCUCAACAACAAAGCGCGGUUUCCUCCCUCGCCAUCCUUCCUCGUGGUCGCGCACCCGGUUGGAUUUCACAGUCAUGGAAGUUCUGCUUUAAAAUCCGUUUCUGAAGAAGUGUUAAUGUAUAAGAAAAACAGCAGACGAACACCAGGUGAGGGAGAGUGUAUUAAACACCUGGACGGUACUCCGCAAAUAUGACACAGUCACCAAAGACAAGUUUGAGAAUCUGUCUCAGACAAGAUCUUGACACUGCUGACCAGGGACAAAAUGUCCCAUUGACAGUCAUGCUCUGGAGCAGGAUGGGCAGUGAGAGACCAGAGACCACAGGAUGGGUAAGAAAUAGCCCAGCUCAGGCUACUGGGUUGAAGAACUGCCAGAGCGUGAUCGCCAACGUGCAGAUUUCUGAUCUACGUGUAAUGUAGAAGCUGACUGUUCUGUAUCUGACGUUUCAUUUAGAGUCUAUGAAGUAGCUUAGGCCAAUUACUCAUAGCCGCCUGCCCCUCCUCAGUUACCUGGACAUAUGUCUUGUGUUCUGGAAUCAAAACUAAUUCUGAAUGCAUAUCCUGAAAACAUGGGACACUUACUCAGAUUUCACUCUUGGGUGUCAUUGGCCUUUUAAUUAUUUUCUAUCAAUAGACCGACCUUAGAUUUACUUGUCAAAAAAAGUAAGGUCAUUUUAUGAGCACUUUCAUUCCAAUUUCCUAGAUGUCUUUUCUGAUUAGAAAAACCUAUAAACUAUGUAGCUUUGAAUUUAUAGAAUCAUUAUUCCUGAAGGUUUUGCUGUCCUUUGCGCUCAGAGAUGGUCCCACUGACUCAGAGAUGGUCCCACUGACCCAGCAUGGCAGAGCCUGUGAUUGCAGCUCCAGGGGCCCUCAAUUCAUUUGUUUCCCUGCCUCUCCAUCUCCCCAUGUUAUCCUGUCACCCCAAAAAGCACCUGCCUGCAACACGGUCAACAGAGUCCAUCCAUAGAGUCCCGCUGGUUCAGCUGGUUGUUUCCAGCUUUUUGACCGUGACCCACCAAGAGAAGCUCAUCUUAACUAGCAAUGCAAAUGACACACUUAUACAUGUGCACACACACAGAGCACUUCAAAAAGCAACACUUUAUUAACUAUGCUACUUCUAAAGCAUUUUAAUCCCAGCUCUUAACUUUUGCAGAAAGUGUUUAUAAGCAUUCAAUUGAUUACUAUUCACAGUUAGAAAAAAAUAUAUUGGUCACGUAUGUGGUAAUAAAACUGCAAAGUGUACCGAG